This 306-nucleotide long non-coding RNA is filed under the name Musa acuminata (dwarf banana). RNAcentral describes it as "long non-coding RNA (MACU_LNC001358)". Lineage: Eukaryota; Viridiplantae; Streptophyta; Magnoliopsida; Zingiberales; Musaceae. The record is from RNAcentral.
GCAAACAUCUCUGAAAAACACUUCAUAGACAAUGCAAAUUACAAACAGACCUUACAAGCUCUGAACAGUGGCACAACAAAGGGUAAAAUGGUCCAUUAUAGACCGAAAAUCUCUCACACGUGUCAACAUGACACAACCUUUAUUUACAAGCCUAAAGAGGCCACCAACCCAACUAAAAUGGGACUAUUAAGCCUUCGGUCGCCCCUCUACAUGCUGUACAAGGCAUGAACAUGCCAAAAGACACGGACAUAUAUAAGCAUUACAUCAAACACCUUGUUUAGAAGUUUGUCCGUGACAUUCUCCCCC